GUGACUGUGGCUCAGCAGGAAGAGCGCCGGACUGUGGAUCCGGAGGUCGCGGGUUCGAGUCCCGCCAGUCACCC
This 74-nucleotide transfer RNA is filed under the name Plantactinospora endophytica. RNAcentral describes it as "tRNA-His". It matches the Rfam family "tRNA". Rfam says of the family: Transfer RNA (tRNA) molecules are approximately 80 nucleotides in length. Their secondary structure includes four short double-helical elements and three loops (D, anti-codon, and T loops). The record is from RNAcentral. Lineage: Bacteria; Bacillati; Actinomycetota; Actinomycetes; Micromonosporales; Micromonosporaceae.